Molecule: long non-coding RNA, 377 nt
Organism: Pezoporus flaviventris
Lineage: Eukaryota; Metazoa; Chordata; Aves; Psittaciformes; Psittacidae
Exons: 3
Source: RefSeq, a predicted model, not a curated record
CCAUUGUCUGCCUAAAAAACAUUUUAUGCUCAAAGAAAUGUUAGUUCUCUGAAAAUGUGGUAAAAAAUAACAUUAAACCACUUCAAUGUAUGAAUCCACAGUGACAGCAGAACAGCAUUUAAUGGAGGGACCCUACCCAGAGAAGUGCCUGGCAGUUUACCAUGAAUCAUUAUCAAGAAUAAUAUGUGAAAGAAUUGGCAGUGUCCAGCUGAAUUACAAAAAGCCUGAAACUUUGGUACAAUCGGUUUUCUUUAGAUUGUCAGUAAAUGGGAGUUUCAAAAGCAGGAUCACAGAGAGAAGUAUCUGGGUGGCACUGCAAUAAAUGUACAUGAUCAAGAGCAUAUACCAGAAGAGUCCGUGUGUCUCAUUCUAAGAAA